This 112-nucleotide ribosomal RNA is filed under the name uncultured bacterium. RNAcentral describes it as "partial 16S ribosomal RNA". It matches the Rfam family "Bacterial small subunit ribosomal RNA", at positions 1373 to 1482 of the family's 1533-position model. The record is from RNAcentral.
CCCGGGCCUUGUACACACCGCCCGUCACACCACGAAAGCCGGCAACACCCGAAGCCAGUGGCCUAACCCGCAAGGGAGGGAGCUGUCGGAGGUGGGGUUGGUGAUUGGGGUG